CUUUUAUUGGAUGUAAUGAGGCUUAGGGAUAGGGUUAUUGAAACGAAAGAAUAGGAAAACACAAGUUCUAAGCUACAUUGCAAGCAAUUCUUUUCUUUAGAUUUAUAAGAACUCAAGCUCUCCAACGAUUCUUCUGAAACCUCCAAUCACACCCUUAAACUGAAACUUUAAAAAAACAUUAUUUUUUUUUUUUCUUCGUAUACAAUCUUUCUUUUUCUUUUUCUUUUUCUUUUUUUUUUUUAAUACAAAUAUGAAAUACCCCCACACUUAUUUUUUUGCCAAACACCUUCAAAGUACUUUACAAACAUUUCUCAUAAGACAAUCUCACAUUGCUCACUAGCUUGCUUGGAAAGGGUAAGGAAAAAAAAAUGUUUCAGGUAUAAGGGUAGACAUAUUUGGUGAUAAGAAAUAAAAGGCUCAACAAACACGGCUCAAAUUGGCAAUCUAAUGAUAUCAUUUUUUCUGUUGGGAAACAUGGUUAUUUGGGCCAUGGUGGUAAACCUAAUGCCUCUAUCAUUUCCAAGUUCAUGUAAUCAAUGACAAACAUUUCGAAAGAUCGUUACGCAAGUUCUAGAGAUGUAUCUCACAUAAGUUCAUCACACAUGAAAGAAUAGGAGUGUAUGAAAAAUGCACACACUUUCAAUAGGCUCAAAAGCUCACAUAGGAUGUAUAUGGUCACUAAAUUCACAUAUGAAGCUUUACGUUAUGCUUUAGUUUCACAUCAACAAGGCUAUGUGCAUUUGGUUUUUCAAAGAUGAUCAAACAUGUACAAAACUAACAAAAGAAUUAGGAAUUUCACAAAACACAUGUUAACUAAGUUCUUGAUGAUCAUGGUUCAAAUUUUAUUCAAUUAUAUCAUUGGGUCGGGAAACUAACAAAAAUCUAAUUCAAAACAAUAAGGAAAACAAGACAAUAUUUUUGGAUUUUUAAAUUUUCCGAAUUUUUUUUUAAAGAAAACAAAAAGCAACAACACAGAAACAAAUGAAAUUCUGGAGAUUUCUACCCCCACACUUAAACUUGACAUUGUCCCCAAUGUCAGAAAACACUAUAACGCAAAAUAAAAAUAAAAUAAAAUAAAUAAAUAAUAAGAAACAAAAUAAAGCAAUUAGACUGAAAACUUCCCUAAGUUGCAGUAAAAUCAAGUGAUUACCCCCCACGCUAAAAUUCUGCAAUCAACUUCAAGGGUGGAAAUAACCAAAAGUUCCUGCAAAGAAAAGAAAUAAUUCAGUUAAGUAACGCAAGAAAAUGUAAAAAAAAUUGCAAAUGAAAAAUUGAAAAUCACAAUAAAAGACAAUGAAUAGAAACUAAUAAGUGAUCAUUGGUCAUGCUUGUUGAUUUUCCACAGCGUUCCUCUUGAACAGGGUGACACUUAGCUUUUUACUUGCAAGUGAUGAUUUUAUGCUAUUGUACGGCGAAGCUUUGCUCUUUGGUUAUGUUGCAGUUCCUUAUUUGUUCUCCAAGCAGAUGUGGCAGCUUCUCUAGUUCUUCAGUUCGGACUCCUUGUGCUGGGUUGAUUGUACGAGCUGCAUUCUUCUCUGCUUGUUUCUUCAGCACGGCGGGCAGGCACGAGGUAGAGGUAUUGGUCUGUUUCUUUCUUCAAUCUUUCCAAGUGCCCACCUCUUGCUUUCUUUCUCCUUGUCCCUAGCUGAAUUGUCUCCACAUGCUUCGAGGUAUCAUUUUCACUUCCCUUACUGUCCCCCAGGCAGAUGUGGUAGACGAAGAGAAAGCAUAAAAUGAUGAAGAUGAGUACUCGAGAGCAAGGCUAGGUAAGCAAUCACGAAG
This 1782-nucleotide long non-coding RNA is filed under the name Malus domestica (apple). Its description in RNAcentral is "long non-coding RNA (MDOM_LNC003829)". The record is from RNAcentral. Lineage: Eukaryota; Viridiplantae; Streptophyta; Magnoliopsida; Rosales; Rosaceae.